This 1378-nucleotide long non-coding RNA is filed under the name Equus caballus (horse). RNAcentral's name for it is "lncRNA (ENSECAG00000058035.1)". The record is from RNAcentral. Lineage: Eukaryota; Metazoa; Chordata; Mammalia; Perissodactyla; Equidae.
UAAUGAUGGUGAUGAUGAUGGUGAUGAUGGUGGUGGUGAUAAUGACGGUGGUGAUGGAGGUGAUGAUGAUGAUGGUGGUGAUUAUGAUGAUGAUGGUGAUGUGGUCAUGGUGGCGAUCAUGAUGUUGAUGAUGGUGAUGACGAUGAUGAUGAUGGUGAUGGUGAUGGUAGUGAUGAUGACAGUGGUGAUGGAGGUGAUGAUGAUGACGAUGAACUGAGCACUUGUUAUAUGCUAAGGUCUGUCCCAGACAGGGAUACCACAGUGAGCGAGACAAAUGUGGUCCCUGCUCUUCUGGGAAUCAGUCCUACUGAGGGUAAAGCCAGUGAAUAAAUAAACUGAUUAAUAUAUAAAGUCCCGUCACAGAAGGAAGAGCUAGAGAACCACGUGAUGGGUGGGGCGCCCCGGAAGACCUCUUGGAGGGGGCGACAUUUGGAUGCAGUGGGAGACAUGGGUGUUGAGGACAGCCCCUCUCCCUCUUUCCCCUCUAUGCCCAUUCUGGCUGCAUUUUGACCUUUAGCCGGGAGCCUGAAUCUACGGCAGUCUUUGUCACUUGCUACAUCUGUGGUCUUGGACCUGUUUCCCCUCCGUGGGAGUUGGCUGUCCCAUCUGUACAGUGUGUGUAUGCGUGGGGUGCAGCCAGACACCCCCUCGGUGCCUUCCAUCUCUGGGAUCCCAGCAUCCGGAGCUGGUGCUCAUGGCCUCGAUCCGCCAUGGAGUAAUUGGCAAAAACGGUCGGCAUGAGGGGCCCUCUCCGGGUCAGGCCCCUCGGAAGGGUCGAACAGUUCACUUCCCAGCAGCUCUCUGCGGCUUACCUGAGACGGAGCUGGCUCCAGGAGCAAUUUCCCCUGGAAGAAACAAUCUUCGGAAUCCAUCGUAUAUCAUUCGCUAUGACGUCUUCUGUUUAAACAGCGGCAGCCGGUGGAGGGUGUGCGCUGAGGCUGCGUGUCCAGGAGGAGGGGGCUCGCGUCCCAGCCCCCUGCUCCAGCCCUGUGGAAGGCCCCGCUUAGGGGGAAAGCGGGCAUAUGGAACCCAUUUGGGAAAUUCUUUCUGCAUAAACCACUCUUUCCAGCUGUCUGAGCACAGACGCCCCUGAUGGAGCUGGAUAAAGCCCCAAGAAGAGCUUGAUCUUGGAGCAAAGGGCCCCAGUGUGCCAGCCUUUGUGGGUCCCCAUGUGCGAGAAAGGAUGUCUGCGUUCGUGUUCUCUGGCCAGCAGAUGAGAGGGAAGGACCGAGCCACAGCCGUCCCCUCCCCAGCACACAGCCCCUGGCCCCGACCAAGCACGCAUCCACUUCUUUGGGGACAAGCAGAUUUUUCAAACAAAGUUUGCCAAAUAAGCACAUUUUGGUUUUUUUUCCCUCCAGGGCAGAUGCAAACGGUC